CCGCGUUGCCUAUGCAGAGUCGCCUCUGCAGCCUUCCAGGGCUAAAGGUCAAGUUUUCCUGAGGACCAAGGGCAGAAUGAGACAAGUUUUAUCAGCAAGCCUCUAUUUUCCUCCCCUGAUUUCCACCCCGGCCGCACAUUCCACUAGACUCCUCAGGGUUGAGUGCUCACAUCUCACCAGCACCAGGAGAAUUAACAAAACAGCACACUCUGGUUUUAAGAUGGUUGUGCAAUCUCCUCUUCCUGUUGGUCAAGAAUCGGAGGAUCGAGGCUGGGGAUCUAGCUCAGUGGUGCAGCCACCAGUGGUUGCACUACAGUGGUGCAACAGAGGAUCGGCUCUUUUGAGAUCCAGGCCAUGAAGGGGUGCAGCGCCUCGUCUUCCUUCCUAGUCUGCCGCUGCUCAAGAGGGGCUGUUUAAUUAAAG
Long non-coding RNA from Heterocephalus glaber (naked mole-rat), 423 nucleotides. NCBI's taxonomy places the organism in Eukaryota, Metazoa, Chordata, Mammalia, Rodentia, Bathyergidae. The record is from Ensembl.